UAAGUACUUUUGCGAUGACGAAGUCAUCUAUAUAUCAGUAUAUUGUCACAUCAUAGGUCAUACUCAUCGCUUAAGCACAAGUGGGGUUGCCACUUUUACAUAAAUCUUUCAAUGUGUUCACAUCUUUGAGAGAUGCUUAUACUCAAGUCUUAGAGUAAAGCUCCCCCUUGAUGUGACAUCCCCCCUAAGAGGGAUAAACUAACAUUGGAUUUUGUCGUAGAAGACUUCAUGUAGGUGUAGUAUUGGUGAAUGCUCAUUGUUGAUGAAGUUCAUCUUGAGUUGGGAGUAAUCCUUGUUUUUUCUUAUUCUUCUCACCUACACGGGUUAGUCCCAAAGCACAAGGAACAUAUGCAAGGAUAUCUAUCGACAUGGAAUGAAGUGCAUGUGAUAUAAUGUCCAAAGAUACAUUAAUUACCUUGUCCCUUGCUUACCUUUGAGGGAAUGUGUGACUCCUCGAACUAAUGCAUAGGGUUGAAGCUGAUUGCAAUUAGUUCUUGCGAAAAUUAAUAAGAGUGAAUUUCAUUGGCGGAGUCAUCCCUCAAGAACUUCUCUAGUUCUUGUUAGAAAUAUGCCCUAGAGGCAAUAAUAAAAUGGUUAUUAUCAUAUUUCCUUGUUCAUGAUAAUCGUCUAUUGUUCACGCUAUAAUUGUAUUAACAGGAAACAUUAAUACAUGUGUGAAUAAAUAGACCAAAUGUGUCCCUAGCAAACCUCUAGUUGGCUAGCUCGUUGAUCAAUAGAUGAUCAUGGUUUCCUGAUCAUGGACAUUAGAUGUUAUUGAUAAUGGGAUCACAUCAUUGGGAGAAUGAUGUGAUGGACAAGACCAAAUCCUAAGCAUAGCACUGGAUCGUGUUGUUCG
Molecule: long non-coding RNA, 856 nt
Filed under: Hordeum vulgare
Lineage: Eukaryota; Viridiplantae; Streptophyta; Magnoliopsida; Poales; Poaceae
Description: long non-coding RNA (HVUL_LNC005340)
Source: RNAcentral